GACGAACGCUGGCGGCGUGCUUAACACAUGCAAGUCGAACGGAAAGGCCCUGCUUUUGUGGGGUGCUCGAGUGGCGAACGGGUGAGUAACACGUGAGUAACCUGCCCUUGACUUUGGGAUAACUUCAGGAGACUGGGGCUAAUACCGGAUAGGAGCUCCUGCUGCAUGGUGGGGGUUGGAAAGUUUCGGCGGUUGGGGAUGGACUCGCGGCUUAUCAGCUUGUUGGUGGGGUAGUGGCUUACCAAGGCUUUGACGGGUAGCCGGCCUGAGAGGGUGACCGGCCACAUUGGGACUGAGAUAGGCCCAGACUCCUACGGGAGGCAGCAGUGGGGAAUAUUGCACAAUGGGCGGAAGCCUGAUGCAGCAACGCCGCGUGCGGGAUGACGGCCUUCGGGUUGUAAACCGCUUUCGCCUGUGACGAAGCGUGAGUGACGGUAAUGGGUAAAGAAGCACCGGCUAACUACGUG
This 467-nucleotide ribosomal RNA is filed under the name uncultured bacterium. Its description in RNAcentral is "partial 16S ribosomal RNA". It matches the Rfam family "Bacterial small subunit ribosomal RNA", at positions 28 to 507 of the family's 1533-position model. The record is from RNAcentral.